Molecule: ribosomal RNA, 820 nt
Filed under: uncultured Granulicella sp.
Lineage: Bacteria; Pseudomonadati; Acidobacteriota; Terriglobia; Terriglobales; Acidobacteriaceae
Description: bacterial SSU rRNA
Rfam family: Bacterial small subunit ribosomal RNA
Source: RNAcentral
CAGGCCUAACACAUGCAAGUCGCACGAGAAAGGGGCUUCGGCCCUGAGUAAAGUGGCGCACGGGUGAGUAACACGUGAAUCAUCUACCUUCGAGUGGGGAAUAACUUCGGGAAACCGAGGCUAAUACCGCAUAAUACCUACGGGUCAAAGCAGCAAUGCGCUUGAAGAGGAGUUCGCGGCAGAUUAGUUAGUUGGUGGGGUAAUGGCCUACCAAGACGAUGAUCUGUAUCCGGCCUGAGAGGGCGCACGGACACACUGGAACUGAAACACGGUCCAGACUCCUACGGGAGGCAGCAGUGGGGAAUUUUGCGCAAUGGGGGAAACCCUGACGCAGCAACGCCGCGUGGAGGAUGAAAUCCCUUGGGAUGUAAACUCCUUUCGACUGGGAAGAUAAUGACGGUACCAGGAGAAGAAGCCCCGGCUAACUUCGUGCCAGCAGCCGCGGUAAUACGAGGGGGGCGAGCGUUGUUCGGAAUUAUUGGGCGUAAAGGGUGCGUAGGCGGUUUGAUAAGUUUGGUGUGAAAUCUAUGGGCUCAACCCAUAGCCUGCACCGAAAACUGUCGGGCUUGAGUAUGGGAGAGGUGAGUGGAAUUUCCGGUGUAGCGGUGAAAUGCGUAGAUAUCGGAAGGAACACCUGUGGCGAAAGCGGCUCACUGGACCAUUACUGACGCUGAUGCACGAAAGCUAGGGGAGCAAACAGGAUUAGAUACCCUGGUAGUCCUAGCCCUAAACGAUGAUUGCUUGAUGUAGCGGGUACCCAAUCCUGCUGUGUCGAAGCUAACGCGAUAAGCAAUCCGCCUGGGGAGUACGGUCGCAAGGC